CAUAAGUAGUAGAUGUUGGUACCGAUUAAGUAACCACACUUGAAAUCGUAGAAACACCAUAAGCAGUCUCUGGCACAGAUGGAGGUAUAACACUAGAGCUGGAGGAAUACUAGGUGCACUCAAAGGAACAUCCUCCAAAUGAGUCAACAAAUAAAUCAAUAAACCCUCUAAGACUAAGGUAGAAGUACUUUGUGGAAUCUAAGCAGGUCUUAUAUCUUUAGCAU
This 224-nucleotide long non-coding RNA is filed under the name Capsicum annuum. RNAcentral's name for it is "long non-coding RNA (CANN_LNC018743)". Lineage: Eukaryota; Viridiplantae; Streptophyta; Magnoliopsida; Solanales; Solanaceae. The record is from RNAcentral.